CCUACGGGCGGCAGCAGUGAGGAAUAUUGGUCCAUGGACGCGAGUCUGAACCAGCCAUGCCGCGUGCAGGAAGACGGCUCUAUGAGUUGUAAACUGCUUUUGUAAGAGGGUAAACGCAGAUACGCGUAUCUGUCUGAAAGUAUCGUACGAAUAAGCAUCGGCUAACUCCGUGCCAGCAGCCGCGGUAAUACGGAGGAUUCAAGCGUUAUCCGGAUUUAUUGGGUUUAAAGGGUGCGUAGGCGGUCGGAGAAGUUAGAGGUGAAAUCCCGAGGCUCAACUUCGGAAUGGCCUUUGAUACUGUUCGUCUAGAGAGUAGUUGAGGUAGGCGGAAUGUAUGGUGUAGCGGUGAAAUGCUUAGAGAUCAUACAGAACACCGAUUGCGAAGGCAGCUUACCAAGCUACUUCUGACGUUGAGGCACGAAAGCGUGGGGAGCAAACAGGAUUAGAUACCCGUGUAGUC
This 460-nucleotide ribosomal RNA is filed under the name uncultured bacterium. Its description in RNAcentral is "partial 16S ribosomal RNA". It matches the Rfam family "Bacterial small subunit ribosomal RNA", at positions 338 to 795 of the family's 1533-position model. The record is from RNAcentral.